AUUGAACGCUGGCGGCAUGCCUUACACAUGCAAGUCGAACGGUAACAGGUCUUCGGAUGCUGACGAGUGGCGAACGGGUGAGUAAUACAUCGGAACGUGCCUAGUAGUGGGGGAUAACUACUCGAAAGAGUGGCUAAUACCGCAUGAGAUCUACGGAUGAAAGCAGGGGAUCGCAAGACCUUGUGCUACUAGAGCGGUCGAUGGCAGAUUAGGUAGUUGGUGGGAUAAAAGCUUACCAAGCCGACGAUCUGCAGCUGGUCUGAGAGGACGAUCAGCCACACUGGGACUGAGACACGGCCCAGACUCCUACGGGAGGCAGCAGUGGGGAAUUUUGGACAAUGGGCGAAAGCCUGAUCCAGCAAUGCCGCGUGCAGGAUGAAGGCCUUCGGGUUGUAAACUGCUUUUGUACGGAACGAAAAGCCCCGGGUUAAUACCCUGGGGUCAUGACGGUACCGUAAGAAUAAGCACCGGCUAACUACGUGCCAGCCGCCGCGGUAA
This 498-nucleotide ribosomal RNA is filed under the name uncultured bacterium. Its description in RNAcentral is "partial 16S ribosomal RNA". It matches the Rfam family "Bacterial small subunit ribosomal RNA", at positions 30 to 523 of the family's 1533-position model. The record is from RNAcentral.